AGCGAACGCUGGCGGUAGGCCUAACACAUGCAAGUCGAACGGCAGCACAGUAAGAGCUUGCUCUUACGGGUGGCGAGUGGCGGACGGGUGAGGAAUACAUCGGAAUCUACUUUUUCGUGGGGGAUAACGUAGGGAAACUUACGCUAAUACCGCAUACGACCUACGGGUGAAAGCAGGGGAACUUCGGACCUUGCGCGAUUGAACGAGCCGAUGUCGGAUUAGCUAGUUGGCGGGGUAAAGGCCCACCAAGGCGAGGAUCCGUAGCUGGUCUGAGAGGCUGAUCGGCCACACUGGAACUGAGACACGGUCCAGACUCCUACGGGAGGCCGCAGUGGGGAAUAUUGGACAAUGGGCGCAAGCCUGAUCCAGCCAUACCGCGUGGGUGAAGAAGGCCUUCGGGUUGUAAAGCCCUUUUGUUGGGAAAGAAAAGCAGCAGGUUAAUACCCCGCUGUUCUGACGGUACCCAAAGAAUAAGCACCGGCUAACUUCGUG
This 492-nucleotide ribosomal RNA is filed under the name uncultured bacterium. RNAcentral describes it as "partial 16S ribosomal RNA". It matches the Rfam family "Bacterial small subunit ribosomal RNA", at positions 29 to 507 of the family's 1533-position model. The record is from RNAcentral.